This 103-nucleotide small nuclear RNA is filed under the name Helianthus annuus (common sunflower). The record is from RNAcentral. Lineage: Eukaryota; Viridiplantae; Streptophyta; Magnoliopsida; Asterales; Asteraceae.
GUCCCUUUGGAGACAUCCGAUAAAAUUGGAACGAUACAGAGAAGAUUAGCAUGGCCCCUGCGCAAGGAUGACACGCACCAAUCGAGAAAUGGUCCAAAUUUUU